RNAcentral lists this non-coding RNA (86 nucleotides) under Pseudomonas jessenii. Lineage: Bacteria; Pseudomonadati; Pseudomonadota; Gammaproteobacteria; Pseudomonadales; Pseudomonadaceae. The record is from RNAcentral.
GUUUAUGGUGGCUGUGCGUGGGAGACCUUUGGGUCUACCGGUUUGCCUUGUCCCGGUUCGCCAACCUGCGUACAGCUACCACCUUU